UACAGAGGUCUCAAGCGUUAAUCGGAGUCACUGGGCUUAAAGGGUGCGUAGGCGGGUCCGCAAGUGCUUUGUGAAAUCCCACGGCUUAACCGUGGAAUUGCUUGGUAGACUGCGGAUCUUGAGGUUGGUAGAGGUCGCUGGAACUCUAGGUGGAGCGGUGAAAUGCGUAGAUAUCUAGAGGAACGCCAAUGGUGAAGACAGGCGACUGGGCCAAUUCUGACGCUGAGGCACGAAAGCGUGGGGAGCAAACGGG
This 253-nucleotide ribosomal RNA is filed under the name uncultured bacterium. RNAcentral describes it as "partial 16S ribosomal RNA". It matches the Rfam family "Bacterial small subunit ribosomal RNA", at positions 524 to 776 of the family's 1533-position model. The record is from RNAcentral.